CACGCCGUAAACGAUGAUCACUAUGAGUAUGGAGAUUCGACCCUCUGUGCUCAGAAGCUAACGCGAUAAGUGAUCCGCCUGGGGAGUACGAGCGCAAGCUUAAAACUCAAAGGAAUUGACGGGGACCCGCACAAGCAGAGGAGGAUGGGGUUUAAUUCGAAGCUACGCGAAGAACCUUACCAAGACUUGACAUCCAGAGAAUCCCCGCGAAAGCAGGGAGUGCCUUCGGGAACUCUGUGACAGAUGC
This 247-nucleotide ribosomal RNA is filed under the name uncultured bacterium. RNAcentral's name for it is "partial 16S ribosomal RNA". It matches the Rfam family "Bacterial small subunit ribosomal RNA", at positions 796 to 1041 of the family's 1533-position model. The record is from RNAcentral.